UUGGUGGCGAGUGGCGAACGGGUGAGUAAGAUAUUGGAACGUACCGAGUAAUGGGGGAUAACUAUCCGAAAGGAUAGCUAAUACCGCAUACGCUUUGAGAAGGAAAGUGGGGGAUCUUCGGACCUCACGUUAUUCGAGCGGCCAAUAACUGAUUAGCUAGUUGGAGGGGUAAAGGCCCACCAAGGCGACGAUCAGUAGCGGGUCUGAGAGGAUGAUCCGCCACACUGGGACUGAGACACGGCCCAGACUCC
Molecule: ribosomal RNA, 251 nt
Filed under: uncultured Kingella sp.
Lineage: Bacteria; Pseudomonadati; Pseudomonadota; Betaproteobacteria; Neisseriales; Neisseriaceae
Description: partial 16S ribosomal RNA
Rfam family: Bacterial small subunit ribosomal RNA
Source: RNAcentral